GUGUCGGGAGAAGUCAGCCAUCAAAGAAGGUCAUUAUUUUUGGAUAGCCCAAUCAAAAUUUUAGAGCAUCAGUGGAGUCAGGUGUGGAAUCUUUUGCUUUUACUAGUCUAGAAUAGAAGAUGACAGAACAAAGAUUUGUGCCACAGCCAAUAGGAAGUAGGGUGACAAGAGGAAGGGAGAAUCAGGGCAGCUCUAAUAGGG
This 201-nucleotide long non-coding RNA is filed under the name Elaeis guineensis (African oil palm). Its description in RNAcentral is "long non-coding RNA (EGUI_LNC003920)". The record is from RNAcentral. Lineage: Eukaryota; Viridiplantae; Streptophyta; Magnoliopsida; Arecales; Arecaceae.